UACGUAGGGGGCAAGCGUUGUUCGGAAUUACUGGGCGUAAAGGGCGCGUAGGCGGCACAGCAAGUCGGGAGUGAAAGCCCGGGGCUCAACCCCGGAAUGGCUUUCGAAACUGCUGAGCUAGAGUACAGAAGGGGCAACCGGAAUUCCCAGUGUAGCUGUGAAAUGCGUAGAUAUUGGGAAGAACACCUGAGGCGAAGGCGGGUUGCUGGGCUGAUACUGACGCUGAGGCGCGAAAGCCAGGGGAGCAAACGGG
Molecule: ribosomal RNA, 253 nt
Filed under: uncultured bacterium
Lineage: Bacteria
Description: partial 16S ribosomal RNA
Rfam family: Bacterial small subunit ribosomal RNA
Source: RNAcentral